RNAcentral lists this ribosomal RNA (267 nucleotides) under uncultured Veillonella sp. Its description in RNAcentral is "partial 16S ribosomal RNA". It matches the Rfam family "Bacterial small subunit ribosomal RNA", at positions 88 to 339 of the family's 1533-position model. Lineage: Bacteria; Bacillati; Bacillota; Negativicutes; Veillonellales; Veillonellaceae. The record is from RNAcentral.
AAUCUUAGUGGCGAACGGGUGAGUAACGCGUAAUCAACCUGCCCUUCAGAGGGGGACAACAGUUGGAAACGACUGCUAAUACCGCAUACGAUCUAACCUCGGCAUCGAGGAUGGAUGAAAGGUGGCCUCUAUUUAUAAGCUAUCACUGAAGGAGGGGAUUGCGUCUGAUUAGCUAGUUGGAGGGGUAACGGCCCACCAAGGCGAUGAUCAGUAGCCGGUCUGAGAGGAUGAACGGCCACAUUGGGACUGAGACACGGCCCAGACUCC